UUAGAGUCGGAAUGUUUGGGAUUGCAUUCCAAAGUGGGUGGUAAACUCCAUCUAAGGCUAAAUACUGGCGAGAGACCGAUAGCGAACAAGUACCGUGAGGGAAAGUUGAAAAGCACUCUGGAGAGAGAGUCAAACAGUACGUGAAAUUGCUAGCAGGGAAACGUUGGGCACCAGUACACGGCAAUCAAUGUUAAUGAUCAGUCGGUCGAUUGGUGAAUUGUAAUGCGGCGGUUAUCCCCUUAGAGAUUGUCCUAUUAGCGGCGACUCACGUAUUACACUUUUAUUAAUCGGCCGGUGCACUCUUUAGCAGCCGGGUCAACAUCGGUUAAUGACGUUCGACAAGUCUGUAGACAAGGUAGCAUUAGUAGGUUCGCCUGCUUUUGAACUUAUAGGUCUAUAGUACGAGGAUGUUAUUGACCGAGGAUAUGCGAUUCGCGCGUUUCGGCGCAGGGCGUAUUGGUCGGGUGAAGGUCGCCCGUGGUGCUAAGCAGCUUGCUGAUUAGUAUUCAUUCUAUUACACUUUGUGUAAUAGCGGUGGUCGCCCGGCUAAUACAAGCCACUAGCGAGUCAAUGAAUGUUGACGAAAUGGUAUUCAACGACCCGUCUUGAAACACGGACCAAGGAGUCUAACAUGUCUGCGAGUGUUUGGGUGGAAAACCCUUACGCGGAAUGAAAGUAACGAGGCAAGUUUCGCGCUUGCCCGCUGGUAGGAAUCGAAGCGUUUCGGCGCGACGACGCACUACCGACCGACCUGUUACCCUCUGUGGUGGUAGGUUUGAGUUGGAGCAGUCCUGUUAGGACCCGAAAGAUGGUGAACUAUGCCUGAGCAGGAUGAAGUCAGAGGAAACUCUGAUGGAGGUCCGUAGCGGUUCUGACGUGCAAAUCGAUCGUCGGACUUGGGUAUAGGGGCGAAAGACUAAUCGA
RNAcentral lists this ribosomal RNA (924 nucleotides) under Syncephalis cornu. Its description in RNAcentral is "eukaryotic LSU rRNA". It matches the Rfam family "Eukaryotic large subunit ribosomal RNA", at positions 259 to 938 of the family's 3401-position model. Lineage: Eukaryota; Fungi; Zoopagomycota; Zoopagomycetes; Zoopagales; Piptocephalidaceae. The record is from RNAcentral.